AAUAUGUCAAAAUGGAGGAAACUCUGAUGCAGCGACGCCGCGUGAGUGAAGAAGGUCUUCGGAUUGUACCGCACUCUAAGCUGGGAGGAAGGGCAGUAAGUUAAUACCUUGCUGUUUUGACGUUACCAACAUAAUAAGCACCGGCUAACUUCGUGCCAGCAGCCCCGGUAAUACGAAGGGUGCAAGCGUUAAUCGGAAUUACUGGGCGUAAAGCGCGCGUAGGUGGUUCGUUAAGUUGGAAGUGAAAGCCCCGGGCUUAACCUGGGAAUUGCUUUCAAAACUGACGAGCUAGAGUACGGUAGAGGGUAGUGGAAUUUCCUGUGUAGCGGUGAAAUGCGUAGAUAUAGGAAGGAACAUCAGUGGCGAAGGCGACUACCUGGACUGAUACUGACACUGAGGUGCGAAAGCGUGGGGAGCAAACAGG
This 424-nucleotide ribosomal RNA is filed under the name uncultured bacterium. RNAcentral describes it as "partial 16S ribosomal RNA". It matches the Rfam family "Bacterial small subunit ribosomal RNA", at positions 360 to 776 of the family's 1533-position model. The record is from RNAcentral.